Herpailurus yagouaroundi (jaguarundi) is the source of this 538-nucleotide long non-coding RNA. RefSeq lists it as uncharacterized. Lineage: Eukaryota; Metazoa; Chordata; Mammalia; Carnivora; Felidae. The record is from RefSeq and is a predicted model, not a curated record. The transcript is spliced from 4 exons.
AGGGGUCAUCCGUGCUUCCCAGACUCGCUCUCCCCUGCACUCCUGCUCCCCGGCGCCCGCGGAGGAAACGCUGAUCGCGCCGCGCGGGCUGAGUACCUUUGGUGGCUCUGUACCCCGCUGGGAUCCAUAGGUGACGUUCGAGAGCCAGGUGAUCAAGAGACAUGACGGACUUCAUGCCCGGAGUGGGCUCCAUCUUCUGGAUGACGACUUCUUCGCGAAGGAAUUGGUACAAGAUUGGGAAGGAGCCACUCUCGGCUUUACAGAGUGAACACGUGUCCUGAGAAGACUCGGAAAGCAGAAAUACCGUAUUGUUGGAAGGAAGUAAACUGGAGGGAAAUGUUAUUAAGAAAAUCAUCAGGAAGAGAAAAUACAUUUACAGUCCUGUCCUGUAGAAAGUCUGCAGGGAAGGGGACCCGUGCAUUUCAACCCCGUGGCCUUCAUGGGUCAGCUGUACCUCUGUCUGUCUGCCUGCCUGUCCAUCUGAAAAAUCCUCAUGCUGCUUAUUAUUCCAAACAAAUUUUAUAAGUUUGAAACUACA